CUAGUCAGUGAUGUUCACAAUUGUAACGCAUUCGAGUUUAACGACCAUGAUAAUAUCUUACAUGCACUACCAUCUGAGACAUG
Small nucleolar RNA from Esox lucius (northern pike), 83 nucleotides. NCBI's taxonomy places the organism in Eukaryota, Metazoa, Chordata, Actinopteri, Esociformes, Esocidae. The record is from Ensembl.